UGGGGAAUAUUGGACAAUGGGCGAAAGCCUGAUCCAGCCAUGCCGCGUGUGUGAAGAAGGUCUUCGGAUUGUAAAGCACUUUAAGUUGGGAGGAAGGGCAGUAAGCGAAUACCUUGCUGUUUUGACGUUACCGACAGAAUAAGCACCGGCUAACUCUGUGCCAGCAGCCGCGGUAAUACAGAGGGUGCAAGCGUUAAUCGGAAUUACUGGGCGUAAAGCGCGCGUAGGUGGUUCGUUAAGUUGGAUGUGAAAGCCCCGGGCUCAACCUGGGAACUGCAUACAAAACUGGCGAGCUAGAGUAGGGCAGAGGGUGGUGGAAUUUCCUGUGUAACGGUGAAAUGCGUAGAUAUAGGAAGGAACACCAGUGGCGAAGGCGACCACCUGGGCUCAUACUGACACUGAGGUGCGAAAGCGUGGGGAGCAAACAGG
RNAcentral lists this ribosomal RNA (429 nucleotides) under Bacillota bacterium. RNAcentral's name for it is "Firmicutes bacterium partial 16S ribosomal RNA". It matches the Rfam family "Bacterial small subunit ribosomal RNA", at positions 355 to 776 of the family's 1533-position model. Lineage: Bacteria; Bacillati; Bacillota. The record is from RNAcentral.